Molecule: long non-coding RNA, 2399 nt
Filed under: Homo sapiens (human)
Lineage: Eukaryota; Metazoa; Chordata; Mammalia; Primates; Hominidae
Description: long non-coding RNA NONHSAT159014.1
Source: RNAcentral
CCAGAUUGAGCUGGCCAAGUUUGGUACAAGAGCUAAGAGUCUGGGAACAAUGGGAGGUCAGCUUUCUGUGUCACUGUGGAUACAAAGGAAGUACUUUUGAGACACAGACAGGAAGUGACUGAGGACUUUAAGGGCAGCUUGGGCUAUCCAGGAAAGUUCUUCAUUCUUGUUUUUUUCUGCUGAGGCUCUAGAGGGACACCUGUCAGACUGACCAAGGCCGAAGAUGGCUCCCUACCAGAGAGAUUCAACUGAGGGCUUGCGAUAGGUCUUGUGACAUUGCUAUUGAUCUUGAGACAUUCAUCUGAAGCAUGAUUGUCACUGGCUUCAAACUUUCCUCAUCAUAAGAGAGGGACUGGGUCUACUUCAAAUGUUUCGCACUAAUGAAGUUAACAUUCCCUUUCAUGGUGAGCUCUGCCCUCAUCAUGAGACCAUGCCCAGGCUAGUCUGCUGGAAGGAAGUCAGAGGCACACGGAAGAGAGCCACAUUCAGCCAAGGCCAUUCUAGACCAGUUGUUCCCUGUCACUUCACUAAUUGGCCACAGCACAAGGUGCAGCUGACAGCCAGCUUGCAACCACAAGGAUGGCCACCAUGAAGUCAAAGGAGAACUGAGAGAAGAACCAAGAAACAGACCAGGAACCCUGACCGAACUGCUCUGAAAAGCCCCUGCUUCUGGACUCCAUUGUGUAAAAUACAUUUCCCCGUUGCCUAAGCCUGGUCAAGACAUACUUUUGUUACUUGCAGCUAAAAGAAUCCCAGCGGAUAUAUUCAUCUUUCCAGCUUUAUCUCCAGCCAUACAGGAUAACUUGCUUCUCUUGAAAUUUCCCCUCACAGUCCUACCUUGGUGCCUUCUCUCAUUCUUGUCUUCACCUGGAAUGCUCUCCCCAAACUAUAUUGUUAAGGUCUUAUACACUCUUCAAAGUCCAGAUUCAAAGGCACCAACUUAUCCUCAUUCAGAAGGACUCUCUGCCCUCCUGAGUCUCCAAGAUGCUUUGUGUACACCUGAUGGCACCAAAACAUCCACUCUACAGCACGCUCAUCUGCCUCCUUCACGGGAUGGCAUAUUCCAGGGAGGCUGCUUCUCUUUAUAAUUUUGAAUCCCCUAGUCUGGAACAAAGUGUGCUUAGGAGAUAUUUGUUGCAUUAAGAUGUGAAAUUCAAUACAAAUGAUAACCAAAAGUCAAAUGAUGGUAACAAAAGCAAUCAGUGUUAAGUAAGGCAGAAAGGGAUGGGAUCUCUCUGGGCUGGAGCAGUGAGGGUGGGAACUGUGGCUCAUGUCUUGUAAUCCCAGCACUUCGAGAGGCUGAGGUCGAAGGAUUGCUUGAGCCCAGGAGUUUGACAGCAGGCUAGGCAACACAGCAAGACCCUGCCUCUACAAAAAAUUAAAAAAUUAGCUAGGUAUGGUAGCACGCAACUGUAGUCCCAGCUACUCGGGAGGCUGAAGUGGAAGAGUUGCUUGGGGCCAAAAGUGUGAGGCUGUACUCCACCCUGGGUAACAGAGUGAGACUCUAUCAAAAAGAAAAAAAAAAAGAAGAAGAAGAAGGAGAAAGAAAAGAAGUAAAGAAGAAAUAAGUGCUACUUAUGUCUUGGGAUGUGCCCCAACUAAUAGGUAGAAUUUGGAUAUGUUGGCUUGGGGGGAAUUCCUCCAUGGAGAGGACUAAGCUGAUGCAGGGAUCUGUUUCUCAUUCCUCUACUCAUUGUAGUAUGUUUGAGGGUUUCUUUGUAAUUGUUGGGAAAUGUGGUCUCUGUAAUAAAAUUAUGGUGGGUGGAAGAGGAGAAAAGUUGGUUUUGUCCAAGUGGAAAUGAGUUCUUCAUUUUUUCUAUGAUUAUAAAAUGAAUAAACACAAGUGGCAGUUGGGGAUGGGCUGGGAGCAUUUCAAGAUGGUUUUUAUAAGCCCAACAAAGUAUAGCUGUGAGACAGAGGGGAUGUUGAACUCAUCACCAUGUUCCUCCAGGUAUCCAGACAUUCCCUCUGUUUCAGGGGCUUAAGUGUUCAGGCUGUUAUAAAGAGGGUUGUCCAUCCAUAUAAGGUACUAUGGCAGACACAUUAUGUGUUCUUAUUAUCUCAUCUUCUUCAUGAUCACACGAGAAGACUACAAGUGCUGCCAUGUGACUGGGUCUUGCCAGUGGAAUAUAGGUGGUAAUAAUGUACAACUCCACUUCCAAGCCUAGCCCCUAAAAUGGCCCAUGCAAUCUUUCAUGGUCUCUCUCUCAUUGUCUGGUUGAAUCUACAAGUUCCAGUGGAAGACUCUGAGGAGGACUUAAGCAAGGCAAACCCACCAGAUGAAGGAAGCCUGAAUCCCAGAGUCUCACUGCUUGGAGGAAAACUGCUCUAGAGAGCUGCUUGACCAAGAACACCUGCAUUGAACCUCGUGUGAGAAAGAAAUAAAGUUCUACUACUAC